Long non-coding RNA from Salvia splendens (bonfire salvia), 1695 nucleotides. RefSeq lists it as uncharacterized. The transcript is spliced from 2 exons. Lineage: Eukaryota; Viridiplantae; Streptophyta; Magnoliopsida; Lamiales; Lamiaceae. The record is from RefSeq and is a predicted model, not a curated record.
UGCCCCUCUCUCAAUUCCUCUCCAACAUCAAAAUUUCUCCCCCAAAAUUGAGGAUCGGCGGAAACCUUGCUCCAUCGCCACCGCAGUUUACCGUCAUCAUCGCCGGUCACCACUGUGCCAGACUCGCCCCUCCUUCUCCAAAUUCACAUUUCCCCCAAAUUUGGGGAGGGGAAACCCUAAUCCCAUCUCUGCCUCUCUUCGUGGAAGCCGAGGGGUUUCCCCCCACCGCCGCCGUUCUCCUUUUCUUUUUCCAGCGACGCCGCCACUCGGUCGGAACCCGCUAUCGCCAUACCGUCACCGUCCGAUAGUACCCGUGAAGCCCGCCAUCGCGGCUGUUGCGGGGAUACUCCGCCUAUCGCCCGCGAGUUCUGCGUGGCCGGGUCUCGCCGUCCACUUGCAAACGGAAUUUGACAGCAGGGUCCGACGCCAAACCGUGAGGUCUCUGCCUCGGGCGCCGUCGAGCAAAGCUCGGCGUUUCGCUGAUGCCCGCCGCCUCCUAACGAUCAGCGCCGUCGUUGACGGUUUUGUGACUGCCUCCCCGGCCUCAGCUAAGCUUUCGCUCAUUCUCUCCCUUAGCUCCGUUAAAUCGGCAGAUUUGCUAUCCUUAUUUGGUUUUGUUGUAAUCUGGGUUUGAUUAUAGAAUUCUACUAAAAUCUAAGUUCAAGUUAUCUGUGAAUCUAGGAAGCCUUUUAUGGGAAUGCGAUCUUUUGAAUUGGGGUUCACACGUGUUCAUGCUUCAGGGAGCUUUUAUGUUUUAGUUGAUGAGGCUACUGUUCUUCCUCGUUAAUCUGAUGUGAUUACCGUGCCUGAGUUCUGACUAUGGUAUCCUAGCGUGCUUGUGUUUACUACUAAGUGUGAAAUGUCUACUACAUGAUGAUAUGAUAUUCAAAGUGAGCUAGAAACUGAGUGAGGUCACCUUCUCUGCACAAUAUUAUGCUGAACUCUACCUCUGGCCUCGACUCCCUUCACUCUCUAACUUGCUAGCUAACUGAGGGAAUAAUGUGGUGGUGUGAGUGAAUAGAACCGAAGGCAUGGGUAUUUGUAGGAUGGUUGUAACUGAAGGCUCUGUAAAGGCUGUUGAUUUGGCAGCUAAAAGGGUCCUCUGAUCACUCUUGGUUGGCUGUUUGCUCUGCAGAAACACAGGCAUGUACCUGCACAUUAAUUGGGUUUUACAACCUCUUUUGUUGUCAUAUUGCAGGGUAUCUCAGCCCUUGCUGGAAACCUCUGCGCUCGUGGUACAUUUCCUGCGGUAGGAUCCCUGUGGUUGCCACUGAAACCCUGCAGCUUGGGUGCUGCAGAUGUAGGUUUCCUCUGGCACGUGUCGGCUGGACAACCAACUGGGAGGGCAUGCCAUUUCUGGUGGUGGCAGCCUUCAUUCUUACCUGUUUUGAGAGAUAGGGCUGCUAGGUAUGGUUCUCACCUUGGUGUCCCAGUUCGUUGGGCCGCUUGAGCUGGGCUGAGACCGGGCCUGACAUGCAUCCUAUGACUCGAAUUGUAAUAGCGCAGUUCAACUUAAUUUUUUUUCUAUUUUCUUCCCACAUGUAUGCAAAUCUCUGUAAUAGUUAAGGCGUAUUUUGUUUCCUUUGUUUUCAUAGUCAAGCACUUGUAAAUUUAGACUUACCUUGGAAAUUCUAAAUAUCAUGUUUUGUUUACUCAAGAAUAUAAACAAAUGCUAUUUCUUCCUCUUUCUUUAAA